GGAAGACGGCCUUCUGGGUUGUAAACUGCUUUUAUCAGGGAAGAAAAGGCCCUUGCGAGGGACAUUGCCGGUACCUGAGGAAUAAGCACCGGCUAACUCCGUGCCAGCAGCCGCGGUAAUACGGAGGGUGCGAGCGUUGUCCGGAUUUAUUGGGUUUAAAGGGCAAGUAGGCGGUUUGAUAAGUCAUAUGUGAAAGCCUCGGGCUCAACCUGGGAACUGCAUAUGAUACUGUCGAACUUGAGGACGGAAGAGGAGAGUGGAAUAUCCGGUGUAAGGGUGAAAUCUGUAGAUAUCGGAUAGAACACCAGUGGCGAAGGCGACUCUCUGGUCCGUAUCUGACGCUGAGAGGCGAAAGCUAGGGGAGCGAACAGGAUUAGAUACCCUGGUAGUCCUAGCCGUCAACGAUGGGCACUAGGUGUCGGAUUCUUCGGAAUUCGGUGCCGUAGCUAACGCGUUAAGUGCCCCACCUGGGGAGUACGGUCGCAAGAUUGAAACUCAAAGGAAUUGACGGGGACCCGCACAAGCGGUGGAGCAUGUGGUUUAAUACGAUGCUACGCGUGGAACCUCACCAGGACUUGACAUGUAGACAGUAUGAACCUGAAAGGGAGAAGACCCGUAUCCAGUCGGGAAUCUACACAGGUGUUGCAUGGCUGUCGUCAGCUCGUGCUGUGAAGUGUUGGGUUAAGUCCCGCAACGAGCGCAACCCUCGCCCUAUGUUGC
RNAcentral lists this ribosomal RNA (720 nucleotides) under uncultured bacterium. RNAcentral's name for it is "bacterial SSU rRNA". It matches the Rfam family "Bacterial small subunit ribosomal RNA", at positions 406 to 1118 of the family's 1533-position model. The record is from RNAcentral.